AGAAAAUAGAUACCCCGGUAGUCCACGCCGUAAACGAUGAGUGCUAAGUGUCGGGGGUGACCAACCCUCGGUGCUGUCGCUAAACGCAAAUAAGCACUCCGCCUGGGGAGUACGGCCGCAAGGCUGAAACUCAAAGGAAUUGACGGGGACCCGCACAAGCGGUGGAGCAUGUGGUUUAAAUUCGAAGCAACGCGAAGAACCUUACCAAGGCUUGACAUCCCCCUGACUGAUUUAGAGAUAGAUCUUUCCCUUCGGGGACAGGGGUGACAGGUGGUGCAUGGUUGUCGUCAGCUCGUGUCGUGAGAUGUUGGGUUAAGUCCCGCAACGAGCGCAACCCUUAUCUUUAGUUGCCAGCAUUCAGUUGGGCACUCUAGAGAGACUGCCGGUGACAAACCGGAGGAAGGUGGGGAUGACGUCAAAUCAUCAUGCCCCUUAUGUCUUGGGCUACACACGUGCUACAAUGGUUGGUACAAAGGGCUGCAAGCCAGCGAUGGUAAGCCAAUCCCAUAAAGCCAAUCUCAGUUCGG
Molecule: ribosomal RNA, 527 nt
Filed under: uncultured bacterium
Lineage: Bacteria
Description: bacterial SSU rRNA
Rfam family: Bacterial small subunit ribosomal RNA
Source: RNAcentral